This is an RNA transcript of Cucumis sativus (cucumber), 5651 nucleotides long. It is a transcript of the gene named tyrosine-specific transport protein 1, with no coding region annotated. The record is from RefSeq and is a predicted model, not a curated record. NCBI's taxonomy places the organism in Eukaryota, Viridiplantae, Streptophyta, Magnoliopsida, Cucurbitales, Cucurbitaceae. The transcript has 10 exons.
UUCAUUCACUGAGAUUCAUUUCCAGCCAUAAUUUCAAAAUCACUUUCUUCGCCUCUGCAUUUGGCUUCCAUGAAUUUACACUCCACCUUCAUCUCUUCCACCUUAUUAUGCCCUAAAAUCCAAAUACAAUGCCUGCAACUUCUUCCACGAUCGCCAUUGCCGUCGCCAUGUUUAAGAACUAAUCUACAGAACUUCCAAAGGAGCAAAAGAUCAAAUAGAUACCACCGUCGGUUGCUCUGCUUCGAGCAAAAAGAGGAAGGUCUACAAUCUACAGAAGAAUUGCAGCCGGUUUCGUCGUCUGAGAAGAAAGGAACUGUUGCUGGAGCUAUGGCUUUUAUUAUUGGUACCAGUAUUGGAUCGGGGAUUCUUGCAAUUCCAGAGAAAGCGUCUCCGGCUGGAUUUUUCCCCAGUUCGAUAUCGAUAAUAAUAUGUUGGGGGUUUCUUUUAGUAGAAGCACUGGUGCUUGUUGAGAUUAGUGUGGUUCUGUGGAGGAGGAAGAAAAAGGAGAAGAAGGCCGAAGAGGGAGAGACGGGGAUGGAGGUGAUUUCAGUCAGAACUAUGGCGCAGGAGACUCUGGGUGAUUUUGGUGGAACCCUGGCCACUGUUACCUAUGUUUUCUUAGGCUACACUUCCAUGGUUGCCUAUAUUUCCAAGUCUGGAGAGAUCCUUCUCCAAUCAUUUAAUCUUCCAUCUCCACUUUCAGGCUUCCUUUUCACGUUGUUUUUUUCUCUGCUAAUCUCCGUCGGUAGGACCAGAGCCGUAGAUCAAGUCAACCAAUGGCUUACAGCUUGUAUGAUAGGUUUACUACUGGGAAUUGAAGUGUUAGCAGUUCAGUUUGGAGGCUGGUCCAUAAUAGAUGGGGGAGGAGACUGGAGGAAGGUCCCAACUACAAUACCUGUCAUUAUAUUUGCUUUGGUAUAUCAUGAUGUAAUACCAGUUCUAUGUGCUUAUUUGGAAGGUGACCUUCCUCGCCUAAGAGUUUCAGUUUUGCUUGGUAGCAUUAUUCCCCUGCUAGCAUUGCUUGUCUGGGAUGCAAUAGCCCUUGGCUUGUUAGGACAAGCAGAUCAAGUAAUUGACCCAGUUGAAUUGCUCCUGAGUGUUAAAUGGAGUGGAAUUUCUUACAUGGUAGAAUGGUUCUCACUUCUUGCUGUUGGAACAUCUAUGCUGGGAACAUUGCUAAGCUUCUCUUCAUUUUUCAAGGAGCAACUCAGUAACAUCUUUUCUGAUUUGUCUACAAGAGAGGCUUUGAAAGAACCACCGAAGUUCUGCUUAAUGAAGCACUGGUGGGAAAUGCAUAAAUUAGGCCUUACUGCCUUGGCAAUUGCUGUUGGUCCCUCCCUUCUUGUCUCCACUACUAAUCCUGAUUCAUUUUCUGCUGCUACAGAUAUUGCGGGAGGAUACUGCAUGACAAUGUUGUAUGGAGUUCUCCCCCCAGCAAUGGCAUGGGCAAUGCACAGUAGGGAAUCAGAGGAGACUGAAUCCAAGGUGUUAUCGAGAGAAAGGUCUGCACUACUUGGGCUAGGUUUAUUUGCUUGUGGUAUUGUUGUGGAACAAGUUAUCCAGGAUAUUCUGAAAUUGCAAUGGUAGCAAGUACAGGUACAGUCUAGAAUUGUUAGACAACUCUGCUCUUUGACUUUGAUGAACUAAACUGUUUCUUCUCAUCAAUAACUCAGAAACUCGAAGAACAAAGAACUGAAAGAGGGUGCAAAACAAUGGAAGAAGAGAGUAACUCAAGUAAGUUAGUGUAUAGAAGGAGUGGAAGACGAAGUCUCCUUUUAUAGUUUGGAGGAUGGAAUAGUUAUGAUCAAAUUCCUUUCAUGCAUCGAUUUUGUGGGCAAUUAAUUCCCCCAAGCAUAAAAUUUGUUCAAUGGCCUCUCAUCCUAGAUAAGAAUGCUCUUCUUGUUAAUUCACUCUUUUUUUUAAAAAAAAAAAAGAAAAGAAAAAAGAAACAACUUUCAUUUAGAAAAAAUGAAGGUAAGCUCUUCCGAUUAACUAUUCCUUUACUUCCGUCCGUUUCUUUCUCUGUUGGACAAUUUUAGAAGCAACCAAGGAAAAAAAGAAAAAGAAAAAAGAACAUCCUUUUUGGCAUUCUUUGUCCCUCAAAAUUUCAUCUUACAUGAGUUUGCUAAACACCUGGAAAAAAAUUUCUUGUGAGGAAAAGUGGGCUAUAUGCCUAUAUCAUAGAAUUAGAAUUAUGAAAGUUUUUGCUGAUUGCAAUCCUUGCUCUCUAAUGAUGAUAACUUCAGUAUUAUGGCUCGAUUCAGGCGGGAAAUAUUUGUCAAGGAAAUGAUUGUCUUUUCAGAGGUUUUGAUCUUGUAUACUGCAAUAGACUAAUACAUAUGAAAGUUUCUCUUCACAAAUUCUUAAUAGAGGAAAACUAUGCAACACCAUACUUAUGUGCAAAUCUUAUAUCCAGCAGAGUGAACUUGAGCGGAACUUGCUACAAACUUUAAAGGAAACGAGCUUGGUUUACAGAGAAUCUAGAGAUACAUAUUAUGGCAGGAAUGCAGUGUCUGUUUGAUAAAUUGCAAACCCAUGUAGCAAAAGUUGGGUCGAGUUAUCAAGGGGAAGAUCAUAGAACGCCUCAGGCCUUGGAUCAGAAAAAUAGGAGAAAGAAGAGAAGAGAAAAGACAAGAUGGUGCAGAUGGGUGCCAUUUUUUCUUAACAAAAGUGGUGUAAGUUAAUGCAGUCGCUGGAGUGGGUGAGUUUAUAUAGAGCUGAAAGAGAUUGAAGCUUGCUGAAAUAUCUAGUCAUAAAGCUUCCUGAAGGGUUACUUCCUUAAAACUCUUGGGUCCUAUUCCCUGACACCAAAAAGCAGGAAGAAUUAUAUUUUGUGUUUGGAAGGAGUUUGAUGCAGUGCAAUUAUGCAGGCGUGUCUUUGAAUUCCAACCUCAAGUGAAACAUAGUCAUGGUUGCUUGUAUUUGAAUAUUUUGGGAUUUUUUAGGAAAAAAAUGAAGGAAAAAAGAUGGAUAACAACAAACAAUAAAGGAAGGAGAAACUUGACACUGGGACCAGUCAUGUCGGAGAUUUUUUGACUCCUCUAGUUCGUUGUUGAGUGAAAGGCUGAAUAAAGAAUCAAAUGCCGGAAGCAGGUUGUGGGAUGAUCAGCCAAUUGAAGGUAAUUUUUGUUUUUAAGUCUAAAUUAUGUAUUUUUCUCUUCUAGCUUACUACGUGCUUUGUCACUCUCUUUUCAUUUAUCUGUCUUCUGUGAAUCAAUGUGUGCUCUGAAGUGUCCGGUAACUUAUGACAAGAAUAAAAUUUUCUUUUGUUAAAAAGGGAUUAAUAUUUUUUUUUGUACUAAGUUUUGAGUUUCCAAAUGCUUCACUUUUAAUCUUUCAAGUUUCAAAAUGUUGAAUUUUAACCGUUCUUAUUUGUUAAUUUAGAAGAAUUAUAGUUUAUUAAGUUUCAUUAUUUUUAUCACUAUUAAAAUUAAACUUAAACUUAAAUUAAAUUAAUGUCAUUAAGUGUUAAGUGAAAAAUUAAAGUUUAAAGUGUAAAUCUUGAAAUUCAGGUGUCAAAUUAACAGAACUCAAUGGCUAAAAGUGUAACAUUUUGAAACUUAGAAGCCAAAUAGAAACUAGACCUAGAACCUAGGAUCAAAAGGGUAUUCUCAAAUAAAUUAAAGAAAAAACUUUGAUAUUUAAAUGAACGUUCGAAAGAUUUUAAGUUUUCGAUGUAAUCUCCAUUAUUAAUUGGUUAUUGAAAUUUCAAUUUUGAAUAAAAGAGGUUGUUGAAUUUCAACAAAAACUAAAGAUAUUGUAUUCAAAACCAAAGAUCAAUCAGUUUUAAAAUUGUAAACACAUUCAUUUGAUGAUGUGGAGAACUUUUUUGGGAUAUUUGGACUUAAAGAACCAAAGACUCCGCUUCUCUUUUGACAACCACCAUAGAUUGGAUUCUUUUCUCCCCUCUUUUGUAAAUUUCAUAUAUCUAUAGAAUUCUCUCUCACAAAGAGACGUUCAAUAGAAUCUUAAAAUUCUAUGGCAUUAAUUGAAUUUAGUGUUGGUCAUGUUGAGUUGAUUGUUGGAACUUUCCAAUCGACUGCCUUCCAAUUGCGAUUGGUUUUCUUUAUCAAUUAUUUCAAUUAGCAUUAAUAGUUUAUUAGCCAAAUGAUUGAAGGUUAGAAUCUCUAUCACUUCACAUCUUUAAAAGAAAAAAUGCAACAUAUAAAAAGGACGCUUCUGAACAAUAACGGAUGUCACAUUAAAAUUUUCACGUGAAAAUUCAUUUUUUGUAUUACAAGGAAAUGAAAAGAAGACUAGGAGAGAGAUGACCCGGCCAGUGAAAUAAUAAGGCUGGGCAAUCGGAUAUGUUAGCAAGCCCAAUUGCCAAAGUCCCAUUAACUAGUUCCCAUUCAAAUACAUGAGUACACCAAGCCCAAGUUCUGAUCUGAAUGUAGAACACUUGGGUCUUGAAAAAAAAAGGGAAGUUUUGAUAUAUGAAGUUUGAGCUUAGUGUCUAUUUAGUCUCUAACAUCUAAGGAAUAGUUCUAAAGGAUUUUUAAGUUAAUUUGAUCGUUUCUAGUCUAACAGAAAAAACGAUGUCUAGUGUUGAGGUGAUGAAUUAUAGGUAUAUAUGUAUAUAUAUAUGUUCUUUUUAGAUUGUGAAUAUCACAUCGAUGAGGCGGCAAAUUCUUUGAGAAUGGGGUCGAUACCACAUUCCUUAUCUUCAUCAAUUUUGUGAGCAAUUUAGGCCACCCUGGGCAUCAAAGUCGUUCAGUGGCCUCUCAUAAUUAAAUAAGAACGUUUUUUCUUCCUUCUUUUAUUCUAUACCAGGAAAAACAGGCUAUGUCAUAGAUUUAGAACUAUAAAAGUUUGAGCUGAUUAUAUUACAUUUACAAUCUUUGCAUUUCUCAUGUUGGAAGUUUUUGAAAUUGAACUCCAGUACCACAAUAUCACAAGUGCACAUGAUUAACAGAAGGGAACUGUGAAAUGACCAUUACUUAUCUGCUGUCUUCAUCUUCAACAGAAAUCUUGAGCAGACUUUGGAGAAGACUAACAGUUUGAUUUGUAUUAGCAAAUUAUAACACAAUUGCAGUAUCUGUGUGGAAAAUAGCAUACCCGAUGAGCGACAGCUGUGCCGAGUGUUCGAGAGGGAGACCAUAGAAUGCCUCAGGCCAAGGAUCAGAUAAAAAGGAUAGAGAAGACAACAGAAAAGACAAGAUGGUGGAGAUGGGAGCCAUUUCUUUUUCUCUCCAAAUCCUCUAGAUGAGUUGUUUUAUAAGAUUAGUCAAAAUGCAUGCAAGCUGAUUCAGGCACUCACAACCACUGUCAAAGAGAAAAAAGUAAGAAAGAAACACCAACAGUAGCAAAGAAAAGAAGAAAAGGAAAGUAAAGGGAGAUUGGUAAAGGACCAGACUUGACAGAAGAGUUUGGAAAUUGGAAUCCUAUGGUUCAUUGUCGAGUGUAAGGCUUAAUAAAGAGUAAAAAUUAGAAGCUUAUGUGAUGGUGAGCCAAUGAAGGUCAUCUUUGCUUUUAAGCCUGAACUAUGCAUUUUUGCUUUUUUAGUAUAUUAGGUGCUUUUUUCAUUCUUGUUUCUUUGUUUUGGCAUUUGUGAAUGAAUUUUGUGUUUAAGUGUGAGGUUACUUUUGACUUAUAUCAAGAAAUAGCAUAAACUUCAAAGAUAGAAUAAAGAAUAGCUGUGAUUAUAACUU